RNAcentral lists this ribosomal RNA (482 nucleotides) under Microbacterium sp. TW89C. RNAcentral describes it as "bacterial SSU rRNA". It matches the Rfam family "Bacterial small subunit ribosomal RNA", at positions 37 to 528 of the family's 1533-position model. Lineage: Bacteria; Bacillati; Actinomycetota; Actinomycetes; Micrococcales; Microbacteriaceae. The record is from RNAcentral.
GAAGAAUGGAGACGUGCUACCAUGCAGUCGAACGAUGACCCGAAGCUUGCUUUGGAGGUUAGUGGCGAACGGGUGAGUAACACGUGAGCAACCUGCCCCUCACUCUGGGAUAAGCGCUGGAAACGGCGUCUAAUACUGGAUACGAGACGCGACCGCAUGGUCAGUGUCUGGAAAGAUUUUUUGGUGGGGGAUGGGCUCGCGGCCUAUCAGCUUGUUGGUGAGGUAAUGGCUCACCAAGGCGUCGACGGGUAGCCGGCCUGAGAGGGUGACCGGCCACACUGGGACUGAGACACGGCCCAGACUCCUACGGGAGGCAGCAGUGGGGAAUAUUGCACAAUGGGCGGAAGCCUGAUGCAGCAACGCCGCGUGAGGGAUGACGGCCUUCGGGUUGUAAACCUCUUUUAGCAGGGAAGAAGCGAAAGUGACGGUACCUGCAGAAAAAGCACCGGCUAACUACGUGCCAGCAGCGGCGGUAAUACUGC